AGUCCUUCUGGCUCACCCGUCGCAGGAUGUCACAUUCUGUCGGGUUAUUGUUUAUUCUUUUUCCAUUGUAGUUAUGUUUUGUAUUUGCCUGCCUCAUGCUAGAGAAGUCUCGCACUUCGCAUGUAGGACCGUAAAGCCAUGUAUGUUCUACAAUAAAUUCUUUACCCCGUCUAUCACCGUGUUGAAUUACAAAUCACACACCUUGCUGUUGAGGAUUGUUUGGUUGGACAUUGCCCUGGGGUCCGGCUACUCCAACUCCAGUACCAUCUUGAGCACAAGCCUUUGCACCUUGAAAAAAUCAACCUCAGACGAGCAAGAUAAUUCAAAUAAUCUUCUGUUGAGGUUACAUUCCACAACCAACUAUUUGCGCUUGGGUUGCUGAAACCGAGGUGGAGUUUCGGGCCUGAGGUGAUCGUCGUCUACUCGUCUGUAUGACGUUGACUCGGAAGAAAGAAACUCGGUCUACGAGCAAAGCAUUCGAGAUUACUGUGUGUGUGUAGGACGAGUAAGCAUCGUCCUCGAUCUUGCUAUUUGCUAUGGUUUAAUACAAGUUAAACUAACCUAGA
Long non-coding RNA from Daphnia pulicaria, 566 nucleotides. RefSeq lists it as uncharacterized. The transcript has 3 exons. NCBI's taxonomy places the organism in Eukaryota, Metazoa, Arthropoda, Branchiopoda, Diplostraca, Daphniidae. The record is from RefSeq and is a predicted model, not a curated record.